GCACUGUUAGCUCAGUUGGACAGAGCGUUGCCCUCCGGAGGCAAAGGUCGCUGGUUCAAUUCCAGCACAGUGCACCA
Molecule: transfer RNA, 77 nt
Filed under: Cedecea neteri
Lineage: Bacteria; Pseudomonadati; Pseudomonadota; Gammaproteobacteria; Enterobacterales; Enterobacteriaceae
Description: tRNA-Arg(ccg)
Rfam family: tRNA
About the family: Transfer RNA (tRNA) molecules are approximately 80 nucleotides in length. Their secondary structure includes four short double-helical elements and three loops (D, anti-codon, and T loops).
Source: RNAcentral